Molecule: long non-coding RNA, 1306 nt
Organism: Nyctereutes procyonoides (raccoon dog)
Lineage: Eukaryota; Metazoa; Chordata; Mammalia; Carnivora; Canidae
Exons: 3
Source: RefSeq, a predicted model, not a curated record
AAAAGGACACUUAAAAUUUUAAAUGUUUGUCUCCCUCACUUUACAGAUGGAAACUCUAUCACCAAGUGAUCCACCUCAGCGGGAAUACAAAUUACCUGUUCGUUCCAGCCCCUUUGCACUUUGCAUUAGCUAAAGAGCCCCUGGGAAAUACACAGUAGAGAGAGCGAGCACAGUGGGAGGAGCAGAGAGAGAAUCUCAAGCAGACUCCAUGCCAAGGGCAGAGCCCAAUCCUGAGACCUUGAGAUCACGACCCGAGCAGAAAUCAAGAGUCGGACGCUUAACCGACUGAGCCACCAAGGCACCCCUCUCCUGGGGUUUUCUGUCUCAAGAUUUUAUUUAUUUAUGAGACACACAGAGAGAGGCAGAGACCCAGGCAGAGGGAGAAGCAGGCUUCAUGCAGGGAGCCCGACGCGGGACUCGAUCCCAGGACCCCGGGAUGAUGCCCUGAGCCGAAGGCAGACACUCAACCGCUGAGGCAGCCAGGCGUCCCUGCAACAAAGAUUUUCAACUGCGAAGCUAUUCUCUGUUUCCCCUAGUGUACCGUGGAGGUAUUAGGAAUUUCAGUAACUGCUCUGAUUAAAAUCUCAAUGGCUAUCACUUUCAUAGGAAUGUCUAAAUAUCUUCACUCCGUUCAACAAGGGAUGGAGAACAACACCACUUUGGGAUGUAUUUUAAUUUUCUUUUGUGUUCACGCUUUCUAUACAAGCUACCUGGAGAAAAUUAAUUAAGCCGGGAGAGCUUUUAUGAGCCUAAUUAGAUGGAACUCAUCUUCAAAUGCCUGAGGAUCAUCCAAGGAGGGGGCUGAUCCUUUGAAGUAUGAAUUACGACAAGGCAGUAGCUGCGUUCGGUGGUUUGGUGGUUGCCCUCGAGUGUGCUCACAACCUGCGGCUGGGCCACGGGGCUGUGAUCUUGUUCUGAAGCUUGUUCAAUGUGCACCCAUGCAAGAAAGGUGCCCUUGCGGUGACGACGAGGUGGCUUCACGGGACGUGAAAAGCUCAUUGUCCAUAUGGUACGUUGCUCUGCACCGUGCAGACGUCUCGGGUAGGGGUCCUUCCAAGGAGACGCGUUAAGCAGGAACACCAUGAGCAUGUCAGGCUCCCGGAUUCUGGCUCACUGAGAAGUCCCGACCACGGGCAUCAGCCCCAGCCCCAUAGGUGAGGUCCCUUGCACUCUGCUGGGCUUCUUGGACAGUAGUUGCGACAAGCAGUCAAUGCACAAUGCAGCCAAUUCUUGACCAAGAGACUGAUCCACGGGCACAUGCAACAUGUAUGGGAAAGUGCCUAUUUCAAGGGCCUCUGAAUUGUUU